This 468-nucleotide ribosomal RNA is filed under the name uncultured bacterium. Its description in RNAcentral is "partial 16S ribosomal RNA". It matches the Rfam family "Bacterial small subunit ribosomal RNA", at positions 28 to 507 of the family's 1533-position model. The record is from RNAcentral.
GACGAACGCUGGCGGCGUGCUUAACACAUGCAAGUCGAACGGAAAGGCCCUGCUUUUGUGGGGUGCUCGAGUGGCGAACGGGUGAGUAACACGUGAGUAACCUGCCCUUGACUUUGGGAUAACUUCAGGAAACUGGGGCUAAUACCGGAUAGGAGCUCCUGCUGCAUGGUGGGGGUUGGAAAGUUUCGGCGGUUGGGGAUGGACUCGCGGCUUAUCAGCUUGUUGGUGGGGUAGUGGCUUACCAAGGCUUUGACGGGUAGCCGGCCUGGGAGGGUGACCGGCCACAAUGGGACUAAGGUAAGGCCCAGGACCCUACCGGAAGCAAGGGGGGGGAAUAUUGCACAAUGGGCGGAAGCCUGAUGCAGCAACGCCGCGUGCGGGAUGACGGCCUUCGGGUUGUAAACCGCUUUCGCCUGUGACGAAGCGUGAGUGACGGUAAUGGGUAAAGAAGCACCGGCUAACUACGUG